This is a long non-coding RNA of Hyla sarda, 384 nucleotides long. RefSeq lists it as uncharacterized. The transcript has 4 exons. The record is from RefSeq and is a predicted model, not a curated record. Lineage: Eukaryota; Metazoa; Chordata; Amphibia; Anura; Hylidae.
CGGACCCAUGGUCAUGAAACUUCAGACAUGGAGCAUCCAGCUCUGUGUGCAGAUGAGACAGCAAAAUAUCACGGAGGAAAAGCUGAUCUGCUCAAGUGCCACAGCCUGGAUCCAAGGUUUCCGUGACCCCAAAGCUGCUGUCAUUAUUCCUGCAGGAGAAAUAUCUCUGCUCAUGCUGGCUUCCUAUCUAUAAUUCUAUAAGUCGCUGCUAGAUGGCUAACACAAGCGUCUGCUAUUCAAGAAGGAGACUCUACCAGCCAGAAUUGGAGAACAAGCUAAGCAAGGACCCUUCUGAGAACACCCGUCGGAUUUAGUGCUGCCUAGCUGCCACAUUACAAAUUAGUUCUUGAGCAGAUGAACUGCAUGUAGAUUGUGCCGCAAAGU